RNAcentral lists this ribosomal RNA (1357 nucleotides) under metagenome. RNAcentral's name for it is "bacterial LSU rRNA". It matches the Rfam family "Bacterial large subunit ribosomal RNA", at positions 1579 to 2925 of the family's 2925-position model. The record is from RNAcentral.
CUGCAGACGAAGUGAGUGAUACCCUGCUUCCAAGAAAAGCCACUAAGCUUCAGCUUGUAAUUGACCGCACCGCAAACCGACACUGGUGCGCGAGAUGAGUAUUCUAAGGCGCUUGAGAGAACUCUGGAGAAGGAACUCGGCAAAUUGACACCGUAACUUCGGAAGAAGGUGUGCCUUUAGUAGGUGAACCAUUUACUUGGGGAGCCCAAUGAGGCCGCAGAGAAUCGGUGGCUGCAACUGUUUAUUAAAAACACAGCACUCUGCAAAGACGAAAGUCGACGUAUAGGGUGUGACUCCUGCCCGGUGCUGGAAGAUUAAAUGAUGGGGUGCAAGCUCUUGACUGAAGUCCCAGUAAACGGCGGCCGUAACAAUAACGGUCCUAAGGUAGCGAAAUUCCUUGUCGGGUAAGUUCCGACCUGCACGAAUGGAGUAAUGAUGGCCACACUGUCUCCUCCAGAGACUCAGCGAAGUUGAAAUGUUUGUGAUGAUGCAAUCUCCCCGCGGAAAGACGGAAAGACCCCAUGAACCUUUACUGUAGCUUUACAUUGGACUUUGAACAGAUCUGUGUAGGAUAGGUGGGAGGCUUUGAAGAGUGGACGCUAGUUUGCUUGGAGCCAACGUUGAAAUACCACCCUGGUGUGUUUGAGGUUCUAACCUUGGUCCCUUAUCGGGAUUGGGGACAGUGUAUGGUGGGCAGUUUGACUGGGGCGGUCUCCUCCCAAAGUGUAACGGAGGAGUUCGAAGGUACGCUAAAUACGGUCGGAAAUCGUGUUGAUAGUGCAUUGGCAUAAGCGUGCUUGACUGCGAGACUGACAAGUCGAGCAGGUACGAAAGUAGGACAAAGUGAUCCGGUGGUUCUGUAUGGAAGGGCCAUCGCUCAACGGAUAAAAGGUACUCUGGGAUAACAGGCUGAUACCGCCCAAGAGUUCAUAUCGACGGCGGUGUUUGGCACCUCGAUGUCGGCUCAUCUCAUCCUGGGGCUGUAGCCGGUCCCAAGGGUAUGGCUGUUCGCCAUUUAAAGAGGUACGUGAGCUGGGUUUAAAACGUCGUGAGACAGUUUGGUCCCUAUCUUCCGUGGGCGCUGCAAGAUUGAGAGAGCCUGCUCCUAGUACGAGAGGACCGGAGUGGACGCACCUCUGCUGUAUCGGUUGUCACGCCAGUGGCAUCGCCGAGUAGCUAAGUGCGGAAGAGAUAACCGCUGAAAGCAUCUAAGCGGGAAACUCGUCUCAAGAUGAGUCUUGCCGGGGCCUAGAGCCCCCUGAAGGGUCGUUCGAGACCAGGACGUUGAUAGGCUGGGUGUGGAAGCGCGGUAACGCGUUAAGCUAACCAGUACUAAUUGCCCGUGAGGCUUGACCCU